AAUCAACGCUGGCGGCGUGCCUAACACAUGCAAGUCGAACGAGAAAGUGGAGCAAUCCAUGAGUAAAGUGGCGUACGGGUGAGUAACACGUGACUAACCUACCCUUGAGUUCGGAAUAACUUCGGGAAACCGAGGCUAAUACCGGAUAAUACCUACGGGUCAAAGGAGCAAUUCGCUUAAGGAGGGGGUCGCGGCUGAUUAGCUAGUUGGUGAGGUAAUGGCUCACCAAGGCGAUGAUCAGUAUCCGGCCUGAGAGGGCGCACGGACACACUGGAACUGAAACACGGUCCAGACUCCUACGGGAGGCAGCAGUGGGGAAUUUUGC
RNAcentral lists this ribosomal RNA (325 nucleotides) under uncultured bacterium. Its description in RNAcentral is "bacterial SSU rRNA". It matches the Rfam family "Bacterial small subunit ribosomal RNA", at positions 32 to 367 of the family's 1533-position model. The record is from RNAcentral.